UNGUGCUUUCAGCCUAUCUCUUUGCCUUUA
Molecule: non-coding RNA, 30 nt
Filed under: Mus musculus (house mouse)
Lineage: Eukaryota; Metazoa; Chordata; Mammalia; Rodentia; Muridae
Source: RNAcentral